GAUGAACGCUGGCGGCGUGCCUAAUACAUGCAAGUCGAGCGAACAGACGAGGAGCUUGCUCCUCUGACGUUAGCGGCGGACGGGUGAGUAACACGUGGAUAACCUACCUAUAAGACUGGGAUAACUUCGGGAAACCGGAGCUAAUACCGGAUAAUAUAUUGAACCGCAUGGUUCAAUAGUGAAAGACGGUUUUGCUGUCACUUAUAGAUGGAUCCGCGCCGCAUUAGCUAGUUGGUAAGGUAACGGCCUACCAAGGCAACGAUGCGUAGCCGACCUGAGAGGGUGAUCGGCCACACUGGAACUGAGACACGGUCCAGACUCCUACGGGAGGCAGCAGUAGGGAAUCUUCCGCAAUGGGCGGAAGCUUGACGGAGCAACGCCGCGUGAGUGAUGAAGGUCUUCGGAUCGUAAAACUCUGUUAUUAGGGAAGAACAAAUGUGUAAGUAACUAUGCACGUCUUGACGGUACCUAAUCAGAAAGCCACGGCUAACUACGUG
RNAcentral lists this ribosomal RNA (497 nucleotides) under uncultured bacterium. RNAcentral describes it as "partial 16S ribosomal RNA". It matches the Rfam family "Bacterial small subunit ribosomal RNA", at positions 28 to 507 of the family's 1533-position model. The record is from RNAcentral.